GUAUUCGUAGAAACAAGAGGUGGUUAGCAUCUCGCUCGAUAGAGACCUGUUAUUAGACACAUCCAAUUAAGGCUACCCCACUUCGGUGAAUCUUACCCAAUUUUU
Molecule: non-coding RNA, 105 nt
Filed under: Solanum lycopersicum (tomato)
Lineage: Eukaryota; Viridiplantae; Streptophyta; Magnoliopsida; Solanales; Solanaceae
Source: RNAcentral